UACGUAGGCAGCGAGCGUUGUUCGGAGUUACUGGGCGUAAAGCGUGUGUAGGCGGAUCGGUAAGUACCUUGUGAAAUCCCACAGCUUAACUGUGGAACUGCUUGGUAUACUGCCGGUCUUGAGCCAGCUAGGGGCUACCGGAACAAAUGGUGGAGCGGUGAAAUGCGUAGAUAUCAUUUGGAACGCCAAUGGUGAAAACAGGUAGCUGGGGCUGUGCUGACGCUGAGACACGAAAGCCAGGGGAGCAAACGGG
This 253-nucleotide ribosomal RNA is filed under the name uncultured bacterium. Its description in RNAcentral is "partial 16S ribosomal RNA". It matches the Rfam family "Bacterial small subunit ribosomal RNA", at positions 524 to 776 of the family's 1533-position model. The record is from RNAcentral.